Molecule: ribosomal RNA, 223 nt
Filed under: uncultured Lactobacillus sp.
Lineage: Bacteria; Bacillati; Bacillota; Bacilli; Lactobacillales; Lactobacillaceae
Description: partial 16S ribosomal RNA
Rfam family: Bacterial small subunit ribosomal RNA
Source: RNAcentral
CGGGAUAACACCUGGAAACAGAUGCUAAUACCGGAUAACAACAGAUGAUGCCUAUCAACUGUUUAAAAGAUGGUUCUGCUAUCACUCUUGGAUGGACCUGCGGUGCAUUAGCUAGUUGGUAGGGUAACGGCCUACCAAGGCGAUGAUGCAUAGCCGAGUUGAGAGACUGAUCGGCCACAUUGGGACUGAGACACGGCCCAAACUCCUACGGGAGGCAGCAGCA